AGUGAACGCUGGCGGUAGGCCUAACACAUGCAAGUCGAACGGCAGCACAGAGGAGCUUGCUCCUUGGGUGGCGAGUGGCGGACGGGUGAGGAAUACAUCGGAAUCUACUCUGUCGUGGGGGAUAACGUAGGGAAACUUACGCUAAUACCGCAUACGACCUACGGGUGAAAGCAGGGGAUCUUCGGACCUUGCGCGAUUGAAUGAGCCGAUGUCGGAUUAGCUAGUUGGCGGGGUAAAGGCCCACCAAGGCGACGACCCGUAGCUGGUCGGGAAGGAUGAGCAGCCAAGCGGGAACGGAGACACGGCCCAGGCUCCUACUGGAGGAAGCAGGGGGGAAUAUUGGACAAUGGGCGCAGGCCUGAUCCAGCCAUACCGCGUGGGUGAAGAAGGCCUUCGGGUUGUAAAGCCCUUUUGUUGGGAAAGAAAUACAUCUGGUUAAUAUCCGGGUGGGAUGACGGUACCCAAAGAAUAAGCACCGGCUAACUUCGUGCCAGCAGCCGCCGUAA
RNAcentral lists this ribosomal RNA (506 nucleotides) under uncultured bacterium. RNAcentral's name for it is "partial 16S ribosomal RNA". It matches the Rfam family "Bacterial small subunit ribosomal RNA", at positions 29 to 523 of the family's 1533-position model. The record is from RNAcentral.